Molecule: ribosomal RNA, 253 nt
Filed under: uncultured bacterium
Lineage: Bacteria
Description: partial 16S ribosomal RNA
Rfam family: Bacterial small subunit ribosomal RNA
Source: RNAcentral
UACGUAGGGGGCAAGCGUUGUCCGGAUUUAUUGGGCGUAAAGAGCGUGUAGGCGGCCAGACAGGUCAGCUGUGAAAACUCGAGGCUCAACCUCGAGACGUCGGUUGAAACCGUCUGGCUAGAGUCCGGAAGAGGAGAGUGGAAUUCCCGGUGUAGCGGUGAAAUGCGUAGAUAUCUGCAGGAACACCCGUGGCGAAAGCGGCGCGCUGGACCACUACUGACGCUGAGGAACGAAAGCUAGGGGAGCAAACAGG